Molecule: long non-coding RNA, 364 nt
Organism: Dreissena polymorpha
Lineage: Eukaryota; Metazoa; Mollusca; Bivalvia; Myida; Dreissenidae
Exons: 3
Source: RefSeq, a predicted model, not a curated record
CACUACAGACUGUGUUAAAAUGGACGCCAUUGUCACUGAAUGCGGACUGCCUAAGGAUGGAUCGAACAAUAUUGGAGGUGCAUUUCGCAGCUUACCGAGGGACUCUCAAUUACUUUCAUGGCAGGGCAUGACCUCCCCCCAGUGAAUGUCGACUUGUUCUUUUCUGCAAGGAAGACUUUGGAAUGGACAUUUUCCCUACAAAUGCCACAUUCCCAAUCCCUAAUCAAUAGCAUUCUGGGUGAAUCUAAAGGCUACAUGGAUCGGCAGUUUAGUCGCGGUAUCUUCAGCAACAACAAGCUCUUCCUGGUAUAGAUGAACGAGUAGAACAACCUGUACAUGCAGCCUGGGAGCAACCUCACCACAG